AUGGUGCAUCCGGUGGCGGAGGCCGACGAGCGGAGCCCCUUCGGCCGGCUCACCACGGAGGCGUACUGCGCGCGCCACGGCGUCACGCACUCCUCCUCCACCUUGGUCAACCCGCGGGGGCUCCGCAUCUUCACGCAGCGCUGGGCGCCC
RNAcentral lists this ribosomal RNA (150 nucleotides) under Triticum aestivum (bread wheat). RNAcentral describes it as "partial small subunit ribosomal RNA". Lineage: Eukaryota; Viridiplantae; Streptophyta; Magnoliopsida; Poales; Poaceae. The record is from RNAcentral.